GCGGGAAAGACGAAUGAGCCGGAGAUCCGGAGGGAUUGUCCCGAAAUUCCCGGGAUCCCAAAAAUUCCCGGGAUCCCAAAAAUUCCCGGAAUCCCCAAAAUUCCCAGGAUCCCAAAAUUCCGGGAUGGGCUCCUGGGAUGGGAAAUUUCCCGGAAAUUUCAGCCCCAAAAUCCCAGGAAUUUCACCACAGAAUCCCGGGAAUUUUAACCACAGAAUCCCGGGAAUUUUAACCACAGAAUCCCGGGAAUUUUUAUCACAAAAUCCCAGGAAUUUGGGUGUGGAAUCCCGGGAAUUAAACCACAAAAUCCCGGGAAUUUUGAUGGUGGAAUCCCGGCAAUUUCACCCACAAAAUCCUGGAAAUUUCACCCACAAAAUCCCAGGAAUUAAACCAGAAAAUCCCAGGAAUUUGGGCGUGGAAUCCUGGGAAUUAAACCACAGAAUCCCGGGAAUUUCCACCACAAAAUCCCAGGAUUUUGAGUGUGAAAUCCCGAGAAUUAAACCUCAGAGUCCCAGGAAUUUUGAUGGCAGAAUCCCGGGAAUUUCAACCACAGAAUCCCAGGAAUUUCAAUUACAGAAUCCUGGGAAUUCCCCCCAGAAAUCCCAGGAAUUUCAACCACAGAAUCCCAGGAAUCUUGACCACAAAAUCCCGGAAAUUUCACCCCCCAAAUCCCCUAAAAUCCCCCAAACUCCCAUAAAUUCCCCCCAAAAUCCCAGGAUUUUCCCCCUCAAAAUCCCAUAAAAUCCCCCCAAAAUCCCAUAAAAUCCCCCCAAAAUCCCAGGACUUUCCCUCCCACAAUCCCAGCAAUUUCCCUCCAAAACCCCAGGAUUUUUCCCCCGAAAAUCCCAGGAAUUUCAACCACAGAAUCCCAGGAAUUCGCCCCAAAAUCCCGGGAGUCCCCCCCAAAAUCCCGGGAAUUCCCCCCCAAAUCCCAUAAAAUCCCCCAAACUCCCAUAAAUUCCCCCUUAAAAUCCCAGCAAUUUCCCCCCAAAAUCCCAGGAAUUUCA
RNAcentral lists this long non-coding RNA (1005 nucleotides) under Chloebia gouldiae (Gouldian finch). RNAcentral describes it as "Erythrura gouldiae (Gouldian finch) lncRNA (ENSEGOG00005018131.1)". Lineage: Eukaryota; Metazoa; Chordata; Aves; Passeriformes; Passeridae. The record is from RNAcentral.